UUAAGCGACUAAGCGUACACGGUGGAUGCCCUGGCAGUCAGAGGCGAUGAAGGACGUGCUAAUCUGCGAUAAGCGUCGGUAAGGUGAUAUGAACCGUUAUAACCGGCGAUUUCCGAAUGGGGAAACCCAGUGUGAUUCGUCACACUAUCAUUAACUGAAUCCAUAGGUUAAUGAGGCGAACCGGGGGAACUGAAACAUCUAAGUACCCCGAGGAAAAGAAAUCAACCGAGAUUCCCCCAGUAGCGGCGAGCGAACGGGGAGCAGCCCAGAGCCUGAAUCAGUGUGUGUGUUAGUGGAAGCGUCUGGAAAGGCGCGCGAUACAGGGUGACAGCCCCGUACACAAAAAUGCACAUGCUGUGAGCUCGAUGAGUAGGGCGGGACACGUGGUAUCCUGUCUGAAUAUGGGGGGACCAUCCUCCAAGGCUAAAUACUCCUGACUGACCGAUAGUGAACCAGUACCGUGAGGGAAAGGCGAAAAGAACCCCGGCGAGGGGAGUGAAAAAGAACCUGAAACCGUGUACGUACAAGCAGUGGGAGCCUCUUUAUGGGGUGACUGCGUACCUUUUGUAUAAUGGGUCAGCGACUUAUAUUCUGUAGCAAGGUUAACCGAAUAGGGGAGCCGAAGGGAAACCGAGUCUUAACUGGGCGUUAAGUUGCAGGGUAUAGACCCGAAACCCGGUGAUCUAGCCAUGGGCAGGUUGAAGGUUGGGUAACACUAACUGGAGGACCGAACCGACUAAUGUUGAAAAAUUAGCGGAUGACUUGUGGCUGGGGGUGAAAGGCCAAUCAAACCGGGAGAUAGCUGGUUCUCCCCGAAAGCUAUUUAGGUAGCGCCUCGUGAAUUCAUCUCCGGGGGUAGAGCACUGUUUCGGCAAGGGGGUCAUCCCGACUUACCAACCCGAUGCAAACUGCGAAUACCGGAGAAUGUUAUCACGGGAGACACACGGCGGGUGCUAACGUCCGUCGUGAAGAGGGAAACAACCCAGACCGCCAGCUAAGGUCCCAAAGUCAUGGUUAAGUGGGAAACGAUGUGGGAAGGCCCAGACAGCCAGGAUGUUGGCUUAGAAGCAGCCAUCAUUUAAAGAAAGCGUAAUAGCUCACUGGUCGAGUCGGCCUGCGCGGAAGAUGUAACGGGGCUAAACCAUGCACCGAAGCUGCGGCAGCGACGCUUAUGCGUUGUUGGGUAGGGGAGCGUUCUGUAAGCCUGCGAAGGUGUGCUGUGAGGCAUGCUGGAGGUAUCAGAAGUGCGAAUGCUGACAUAAGUAACGAUAAAGCGGGUGAAAAGCCCGCUCGCCGGAAGACCAAGGGUUCCUGUCCAACGUUAAUCGGGGCAGGGUGAGUCGACCCCUAAGGCGAGGCCGAAAGGCGUAGUCGAUGGGAAACAGGUUAAUAUUCCUGUACUUGGUGUUACUGCGAAGGGGGGACGGAGAAGGCUAUGUUGGCCGGGCGACGGUUGUCCCGGUUUAAGCGUGUAGGCUGGUUUUCCAGGCAAAUCCGGAAAAUCAAGGCUGAGGCGUGAUGACGAGGCACUACGGUGCUGAAGCAACAAAUGCCCUGCUUCCAGGAAAAGCCUCUAAGCAUCAGGUAACAUCAAAUCGUACCCCAAACCGACACAGGUGGUCAGGUAGAGAAUACCAAGGCGCUUGAGAGAACUCGGGUGAAGGAACUAGGCAAAAUGGUGCCGUAACUUCGGGAGAAGGCACGCUGAUAUGUAGGUGAAGCGACUUGCUCGUGGAGCUGAAAUCAGUCGAAGAUACCAGCUGGCUGCAACUGUUUAUUAAAAACACAGCACUGUGCAAACACGAAAGUGGACGUAUACGGUGUGACGCCUGCCCGGUGCCGGAAGGUUAAUUGAUGGGGUUAGCGGUAACGCGAAGCUCUUGAUCGAAGCCCCGGUAAACGGCGGCCGUAACUAUAACGGUCCUAAGGUAGCGAAAUUCCUUGUCGGGUAAGUUCCGACCUGCACGAAUGGCGUAAUGAUGGCCAGGCUGUCUCCACCCGAGACUCAGUGAAAUUGAACUCGCUGUGAAGAUGCAGUGUACCCGCGGCAAGACGGAAAGACCCCGUGAACCUUUACUAUAGCUUGACACUGAACAUUGAGCCUUGAUGUGUAGGAUAGGUGGGAGGCUUUGAAGUGUGGACGCCAGUCUGCAUGGAGCCGACCUUGAAAUACCACCCUUUAAUGUUUGAUGUUCUAACGUUGGCCCCUAAUCGGGGUUGCGGACAGUGUCUGGUGGGUAGUUUGACUGGGGCGGUCUCCUCCUAAAGAGUAACGGAGGAGCACGAAGGUUGGCUAAUCCUGGUCGGACAUCAGGAGGUUAGUGCAAUGGCAUAAGCCAGCUUGACUGCGAGCGUGACGGCGCGAGCAGGUGCGAAAGCAGGUCAUAGUGAUCCGGUGGUUCUGAAUGGAAGGGCCAUCGCUCAACGGAUAAAAGGUACUCCGGGGAUAACAGGCUGAUACCGCCCAAGAGUUCAUAUCGACGGCGGUGUUUGGCACCUCGAUGUCGGCUCAUCACAUCCUGGGGCUGAAGUAGGUCCCAAGGGUAUGGCUGUUCGCCAUUUAAAGUGGUACGCGAGCUGGGUUUAGAACGUCGUGAGACAGUUCGGUCCCUAUCUGCCGUGGGCGCUGGAGAACUGAGGGGGGCUGCUCCUAGUACGAGAGGACCGGAGUGGACGCAUCACUGGUGUUCGGGUUGUCAUGCCAAUGGCACUGCCCGGUAGCUAAAUGCGGAAGAGAUAAGUGCUGAAAGCAUCUAAGCACGAAACUUGCCCCGAGAUGAGUUCUCCCUGACUCCCUGAGAGUCCUGAAGGAACGUUGAAGACGACGACGUUGAUAGGCCGGGUGUGUAAGCGCAGCGAUGCGUUGAGCUAACCGGUACUAAUGAACCGUGAGGCUUAACCUU
Molecule: ribosomal RNA, 2903 nt
Filed under: human gut metagenome
Description: bacterial LSU rRNA
Rfam family: Bacterial large subunit ribosomal RNA
Source: RNAcentral